Non-coding RNA from Salmo salar (Atlantic salmon), 54 nucleotides. The record is from Rfam. Lineage: Eukaryota; Metazoa; Chordata; Actinopteri; Salmoniformes; Salmonidae.
UGCAUUUGCUACUGUAAGUAGCUCUGGAUAAGAGCGUCUGCUAAAUGACUAAAA